Long non-coding RNA from Triplophysa rosa, 508 nucleotides. RefSeq lists it as uncharacterized. The transcript is spliced from 3 exons. The record is from RefSeq and is a predicted model, not a curated record. Lineage: Eukaryota; Metazoa; Chordata; Actinopteri; Cypriniformes; Nemacheilidae.
UUGUCCGUGCAAGACGCUGAGCAAGUUUUCCUCAAUGAUCUGGAUUACCAUCGCAGGUGUCAGUGAAGCCUACAUCAGUGCAAUGUAGCUGAUGGGCAAAAGUACUGAAGGAUCAUACAACUGGGAUUUACACCGCUCUUCACUGCAUACAUUACUUUAUGGACUUUCUCUCUGUUUAUGGCUGAUGUUAGGAAGAAUGUUACUGAGUCACCAUUCACUUACAUACAAGAACACUAGUCAAAAAGCAAACAUUUUUCUCUUGUGCUCUGCUAAGGAAAGAGAGUCCGGAGGGUUUGGAAUGUGAUGGUGAGUAAAUGAUCACAUAUUACAGAUUAAAAUGGGCAUUUUUGUUUGUUUAAAUAAAUGUGUGCAGUGAGGUGAUGUUUAUUUAUUUCAUAAUUAUUUUACUUUGUUAAUGUCAUACACAUCACAAUCAGAUGUUAAAUAAAAUGUAUUGUAAUUUUGUGUUUUGUCUGAAAUUUUUGCAUGCACGCAAUAAAUAUUUGAU